This 29-nucleotide non-coding RNA is filed under the name Mus musculus (house mouse). The record is from RNAcentral. Lineage: Eukaryota; Metazoa; Chordata; Mammalia; Rodentia; Muridae.
UCCAACUGGACCUGGAUGCUAAUGGGAAC